This 58-nucleotide ribosomal RNA is filed under the name Antarcticimicrobium sediminis. Its description in RNAcentral is "Sulfitobacter sp. S4J41 partial 23S ribosomal RNA". The record is from RNAcentral. Lineage: Bacteria; Pseudomonadati; Pseudomonadota; Alphaproteobacteria; Rhodobacterales; Paracoccaceae.
CGCAGCAAUGCGUUCAGUUGACCGGUACUAAUUGUCCGAUAGGCUUGAUUUGAUCCAG